RNAcentral lists this ribosomal RNA (556 nucleotides) under uncultured bacterium. RNAcentral describes it as "partial 16S ribosomal RNA". It matches the Rfam family "Bacterial small subunit ribosomal RNA", at positions 33 to 585 of the family's 1533-position model. The record is from RNAcentral.
ACGCCGGCGGCUCNCUAACACAUGCACGUCGAACGUGAAAUCCGCCUUCGGGCGGAAAGUAAAGUGGCGCACGGGUGAGUAACGCGUGGGUAAUCUGCCCUUGGAUUCGGGAUAACUCGCCGAAAGGCGGGCUAAUACGGAAUAACGUCAAAUCACAUAAGUGGUUUGACCAAAGGAGGCUCUGCUUUCAUCUGAGGAUGANCCCGCGUACCAUUAGCUAGUUGGUGGGGUAAUGGCCUACCAAGGCAUCGAUGGUUAGCUGGUCUGAGAGGACNAUCAGCCACACUGGAACUGAGACACGGUCCANACUCCUACGGGAGGCAGCAGUGGGGAAUAUUGCGCAAUGGGGGAAACCCUGACGCANCGACGCCGCGUGAGCGAUGAAGGCCCUCGGGUCGUAAAGCUCUGUCAGGUGGGAANAAACCUUGCCGGUUAAUCCCGGCUUGGUUGACGGUCCACCANAAGAACACCGGCUAACUCCGUGCCANCANCCGCGGUAAUACNGAGGGUGCAACCGUGUUCGAAUUCUGGGCUUAANGGCNUNAGCCGUUUGUAA